RNAcentral lists this long non-coding RNA (762 nucleotides) under Centruroides sculpturatus (bark scorpion). RNAcentral's name for it is "uncharacterized LOC111630193". Lineage: Eukaryota; Metazoa; Arthropoda; Arachnida; Scorpiones; Buthidae. The record is from RNAcentral.
GAAAAGUAUUAAGAAUCAUAAUAUUUGUUUGGCCCCAUCUUUGACCAAUAGUAUUUCACAAAACAUUUGUAAACAUAUUAAUAAUAAUAGUAAAAAUAAUUUAGACCCUUUAAAAAAAGCUGGUGUGGUUUAUAGAAUUGAAUGUGACUGUCAUAAUCCGUGUGUAUAUAUAGGAGAAACCGGGCGUGUACUAGAAACUAGAGUUAAAGAACACGAAGCGGCCAUUCGGCUUAAGUAUAAUAAUUCUCCGUGGUUUAACCACAUCAAUAGUAAUAAUUGUAAUAUUAAUAGAAACAAUGUAAAAAUUUUACAUAUUGAAAAAGAUAUUUAUAAAAGAAAAUUCAAAGAACAUAUAGAAAUUAGAAAACAAAAUAAUAAUAAUUUAAUAAAUCAGUCGAAAGGGAUGGAAAUAAAUUAUAGCUGGUACAAUCUAAUAGAUGGCGCUAGAAUAAAAUAAAAAAUAAAUGGUUAUGUAUUAAGACGUCAUCACUUGAUUACCGUUGUAAAGUGUUGGUGGUCUACUGUGUGACUUUGUAAAGUGUUGAUGGUAUGAAGUUAAAAAUUUGUAGUGCUUUGGAAUUAUUUUUACAAUUGUUUGUCAAUGAAUUUUUAAUAAUUAGUUGGUUUUGGUAUGUUUAUUAUACACGUAUGUGGAAAAAAUUUUUUUAAACUUGAUUCUUACAAAUGUGUACAAAGUUUACCACCCCUACCCAUGGAAAUAUCAUUGUAAUUACCACCAGCGGUUAUUCACUGAAGAGGGAU